Molecule: unclassified non-coding RNA, 391 nt
Filed under: soil metagenome
Description: partial contains 5.8S ribosomal RNA, internal transcribed spacer 2, and large subunit ribosomal RNA
Rfam family: 5.8S ribosomal RNA (bases 1-122)
Source: RNAcentral
GAUGAAGAACGUAGUGAAAUGCAAUACUUGGUGUGAAUUGCAGAAUCCCGUGAACCAUCGAGUCUUUGAACGCAAGUUGCGCCCGAAGCCAUUAGGCCGAGGGCACGCCUGCCUGGGCGUCACACGUCGUUGCCCCCCCAUCUACUCCUUCGGGAUUGCGGGGGGCGGAUGAUGGCCUCCCGUGCGCCUCGUCGCGCGGUUGGCAUAAAUACCAAGUCCUCGGCGACGCACGCCACGACAAUCGGUGGUUGCGAAACCUCGGUUGCCCGUCGUGUGCGGUCGUCGCGCAUCGAGGGCUCGAAAAAAUUGCCGGGCUCCGGCUCGGCUUUCAACGCGACCCCAGGUCAGGCGGGGUUACCCGCUGAAUUUAAGCAUAUCAAUAAGCGGAGGA